Long non-coding RNA from Papaver somniferum (opium poppy), 1208 nucleotides. RefSeq lists it as uncharacterized. The record is from RefSeq and is a predicted model, not a curated record. The transcript has 3 exons. NCBI's taxonomy places the organism in Eukaryota, Viridiplantae, Streptophyta, Magnoliopsida, Ranunculales, Papaveraceae.
ACUCAGGGCUGCCAAAAAAAAAAAUCAUACCCUCAAAUGAGAGUAUGACACCUCCUCCACGGAAUCAAUUUUCUUUUGUUAGAAAUGAGGUUUUGAUUCUAUUUUUAUUUUCUGAAGUACCAUGAGGAUUAGGGCUUCAAGAUUUCAUUCCGUCUUGAAAAUCUCAAUAAAAUAUUGAAUGAAGACACUACAGUAAUGUUCUUGAAGGAGUCUAAUCUUUAGGGUUCCUCCUUUACAAGUGGUUCUACUAGUGGAGCUCAUAGUAGAAUUCCUGCUAACAGGCAAACAAAAGAAAUGAAGUUCCAGCCGAGUUUCUUUUUCCGCCACGAUGGGAGAAAAUACGGAAGCGAACCCCAGGGUUUCAAAGUUAGUAUUGGCUACAUAUGAUCCUAUUAAAAUUUGAAGUUCCGUGGAAGGCAUUCAUGUAGAUGGUGUCAGUUACUUGCUUAAUAUUUAGCACUUCAGCCAGAUAGAUUACGAGGUCUGUCGCUGUGCCAAAGGUGAAACAGUUCCGUCAGAUAUCAAAAAGCUGAUGCAGUAAUAGUGGUGUCACCAGGUAGCAUCUUAAUCUCUGUUUUUGAGUGCAAAACCCUGAAGACCUCUAAAGUUAUACUGGCAAAAUAGCAAUGUUGUAAGCGAGUGGGUUACUUGAAAUAGAUAUAAAAGGUAAGACUAAUGGUGCUGACCUAAAUUACGCUGGACCAUGAUUGAGUCUAAUUGUGUUGCUCAUUAAGCAUUGGGUCGACAAGUAUCACACUUAUAUACAACUAGUGAUGUACUUUGUAAAGGAGUGCGAGUACAUCCGGAUAAGCAGGAGAAGUAUGAUGCUGUCAUUAUGAACAGAGUCAGUGACGUAUAGCUAUGUUAUGCCUUAAAUAUUUUAAGUAGCAUAAGAAGUACGCUUAGAAAUACUUUUCCUUUUCCAUUGUCGAAGACAAGAGACUUCUAACUGACUCGACGUGUCAUCAUCAAUUCAUAUCCAUUCAGUGUAUCUUUUGUAUUUUUAUGUUAGUUGGAAAGUCCUUGGCAUGUUUAAUUCUUGCAUCCAUCUUAGUUUACUUCACUCAAGUUCAACCAUUCAUUUGUUGGAAAGGAAAAGAAAAGGAAAUGGAUGUGAUCUCUUUUCCUUCUAAAAAGUAAAUAUUCUUGUUUUUAGAAAAUUUAUAAAUGUCAGUCAAAAGUAAAUGACGCACACUUUGUUUCUGUAA